CAGGCCUAACACAUGCAAGUCGAGGGGUAUAGUAGCAAUACUAGAGACCGGCGCACGGGUGCGUAACGCGUAUGCAAUCUACCUUUUGCAGAGGGAUAGCCCAGAGAAAUUUGGAUUAAUACCUCAUAGUAUUAUAGUAUGGCAUCAUAUUAUAAUUAAAGUCACAACGGCAAAAGAUGAGCAUGCGUCCCAUUAGUUAGUUGGUAAGGUAACGGCUUACCAAGACUACGAUGGGUAGGGGUCCUGAGAGGGAGAUCCCCCACACUGGUACUGAGACACGGACCAGACUCCUACGGGAGGCAGCAGUGAGGAAUAUUGGACAAUGGGCGCAAGCCUGAUCCAGCCAUGCCGCGUGCAGGAUGACGGUCCUAUGGAUUGUAAACUGCUUUUGCACAGGAAGAACAACGCUACGUGUAGCGUCUUGACGGUACUGUGAGAAUAAGGAUCGGCUAACUCCGUGCCAGCAGCCGCGGUAAUACGGAGGAUCCAAGCGUUAUCCGGAAUCAUUGGGUUUAAAGGGUCCGUAGGCGGUUUAGUAAGUCAGUGGUGAAAGCCCAUCGCUCAACGGUGGAACGGCCAUUGAUACUGCUAGACUUGAAUUAUUAGGAAGUAACUAGAAUAUGUAGUGUAGCGGUGAAAUGCUUAGAGAUUACAUGGAAUACCAAUUGCGAAGGCAGGUUACUACUAAUGGAUUGACGCUGAUGGACGAAAGCGUGGGUAGCGAACAGGAUUAGAUACCCUGGUAGUCCACGCCGUAAACGAUGGAUACUAGCUGUUGGGAGCAAUCUCAGUGGCUAAGCGAAAGUGAUAAGUAUCCCACCUGGGGAGUACGUUCGCAAGAUGAAACUCAA
Molecule: ribosomal RNA, 851 nt
Filed under: uncultured bacterium
Lineage: Bacteria
Description: bacterial SSU rRNA
Rfam family: Bacterial small subunit ribosomal RNA
Source: RNAcentral